GACCGCGUAGCUCAGUUGGCAGAGCAUUGGGCUAGUAUUCCAAAGGUCGUAGGUUCGAUUCCCACCGUGGCCA
Molecule: non-coding RNA, 73 nt
Organism: Paramuricea clavata
Lineage: Eukaryota; Metazoa; Cnidaria; Anthozoa; Malacalcyonacea; Plexauridae
Source: the annotation of a GenBank genome assembly